RNAcentral lists this ribosomal RNA (460 nucleotides) under uncultured bacterium. RNAcentral describes it as "partial 16S ribosomal RNA". It matches the Rfam family "Bacterial small subunit ribosomal RNA", at positions 338 to 795 of the family's 1533-position model. The record is from RNAcentral.
CCUACGGGUGGCAGCAGUGAGGAAUAUUGGUCAAUGGACGAGAGUCUGAACCAGCCAAGUAGCGUGAAGGAUGACUGCCCUAUGGGUUGUAAACUUCUUUUAUAUGGGAAUAAAAUGUAGCACGUAUGCGGUUUUGCAUGUACCUUAUGAAUAAGGAUCGGCUAACUCCGUGCCAGCAGCCGCGGUAAUACGGAGGAUCCGAGCGUUAUCCGGAUUUAUUGGGUUUAAAGGGAGCGUAGGUGGGUUGUUAAGUCAGUUGUGAAAGUUUGCGGCUCAACCGUAAAAUUGCAGUUGAUACUGGCAGUCUUGAGUACAGUAGAGGUAGGCGGAAUUCGUGGUGUAGCGGUGAAAUGCUUAGAUAUCACGAAGAACUCCGAUUGCGAAGGCAGCUCGCUGGACUGUAACUGACGCUGAGGCUCGAAAGUGUGGGUAUCAAACAGGAUUAGAUACCCGAGUAGUC